UGUUCGGUAGUGUUCGAAAGCAGAACUCGACAAUAUUUUUUGUUUACAUUGGCGACGGCAAGUGAAAUUUUGAUUUCGUCUAUCCGAAAGUAUGCUGUUGACAUAAUGUAUGCCUCUCCUCGUCAUGAACGAUCGUGUAAUUUUCUUGAGGUGCACAGAACUUUCGUUCAAUUGGAAACAACUUCAAAAACACAUAUGGAAAGGUGCUGUGUCCGAGUACACCUGCACCUUAACCUAGGAAGUAGAUAUAUAACCUGAAGGCCCUUAUGUAUUCCACCAAAUGAAAGACUGCAAUUCCAUUUCAGCUCAGUAUUCCCAUAAAGCUGAUUGGUCAACACUACAGAACCUUAUGCAGGAGCCCUGGAUUCGAUUCUCGGAACUGCCAGAGAUUUUUUCUUGGUGAGAGGACUGAAGCUAGAAUAAACUCAGCCUCGUGAUGCCAAUUGAGUAGCCACCGUAUUGAGAGGUAGCGGCUCCCUGGGCGAAAGUCGAUAACAGUUCGGAGUGUGGUAUGCUGACCCCAUGCCGAUCCCUACCGCAUCCAAUGAUGAAUAACCGAGGAUGACAUGGCAGUUGGUUGAUUGAUGCGUAUAUAUAUAUUUUCAGAAAAGUGUACACCUCUUUCAGUUAUAUGCUCUGUAAUUUAGGGGGGGAAAAUCAUAUCAUAAGAGGUAAGAGAUAGUAACAACACUAAUUUAUGUUCUUUGAAAUGGAUUAUAUGUUAUUUCUUUGUAUCUGAACAUUGCUGCGAUAUUUUGUGUUUUUUUUUUAUUAUUAUUAUACACAUUUGUUCCUCUAAUCACAAGUCUUGUUGUGUUUAUGUUGUUGUGUAAUACUUGUUGUUGUUCAACCUGUACAUCAUUUUUAAAGAAAUAAAACUGUACUUGAAAAUGACUACGAGUAAAACCUACUACUGGGCUUGCAAAGGGUGACACCAUCAAGAUGUAAAGACAAUGCAGAUAUUACAUAGGCCGGUUAAUUAAUUUUAAUGGGAAACUGUUAUUUGCUUGAUCUGUUUUUUUAACAUUUGGGAAAAAGUUUAGUGCUUGUUCAUGUUUUUCACACAUUUUACACAUAUUUUGACAACAUAUCAAUGUUUUGUAUUAGUACAGUGGCUGUUCUAGAAAUAUAUGUUUGUUUAGCUACUGAGGAUAAUCUAUUUGAGUGUGGAGCAAUCCUCAUUUUUCAGAAUGUUGUCUAAUAGGAUUCACUCUCUUGCACUUAUAUUUAUUUUCUGUAACCAAAAGUCAAACAUUUAUAAAACUGAUUUAUAUUGGGUAAUACGCUGUGAAAUUUUAAUAGUCUCAUGGAAAUCUAAGCAGCUGAAAAAAAAAGAAAAAAAAUGUAUGUGAUACACUCACGGAAAUCUAAGAAGCUUAAACAAAAAAAAUUGUAUCUAAUACUCUUUUUGUGUAAUAUUUUCUUGUGUUUUUCUUUGUGAUAUCUUAAUUUCUUUUCACUUUUUAUUUUAUAUAAAUUAUGGAAACACUUUGACAAAAAGACUUUUUAAAGAAUGUGUGCAGUGCAGUAUCAGGACUGUGUGUUGAAAAUGACAAAAUCUUUUGUUGUAAUAACCCUGAGAUUAAUAUGCUGUACUACAGAUAUGUCAGUGUUGCACCAAGCAUUACACAUUUGUUGAACUCUUACUGUUCUUGCUGUAUUCAAGUUUUAUGCAAUUUUUCUACAACUGUUUCUUGGAUGAUACUAACAAUCAUAUUUUUAAUCAUGGAAUUUUCUCUAUUAUUUUCAGACUGUAUGGCUAUGUCUGGCUUCCAUAUCUUUUAUGCACACGGAGAAGGAGGGCAAACAUUUUUCCCUUUAGUUGUUCGAAUUUUGGUGCAGUAUAUAAGAUUUUUACUUUUUAAGUUAACUGGUUAUUUUGCUUCAUUUUUGCCCAGUUAUU
Molecule: long non-coding RNA, 1903 nt
Organism: Schistocerca cancellata (South American locust)
Lineage: Eukaryota; Metazoa; Arthropoda; Insecta; Orthoptera; Acrididae
Exons: 3
Source: RefSeq, a predicted model, not a curated record